Long non-coding RNA from Pterocles gutturalis (yellow-throated sandgrouse), 388 nucleotides. RefSeq lists it as uncharacterized. Lineage: Eukaryota; Metazoa; Chordata; Aves; Pterocliformes; Pteroclidae. The record is from RefSeq and is a predicted model, not a curated record. The transcript is spliced from 3 exons.
AUGGAAUGUGAGGAGGAGGAGCUGGAACCGUGGCAGAAAAUCAGUGAUGUGAUUGAAGACUCUGUUGUUGAGGAUUAUAAUUCAGUUGAUAAAACAGCUUCGGCUGGCAAUCCUCUGGUUCAGCAAAGUGGACAGCCGCUAAUCCUCACCCAGAACCCCACCUCGGGUCUGGGCACCAUGGUCACUCAGCCAGUGCUGCGACCCGUCCAGAUCAUGCAGAACGCCAACCACGUCACGAAUUCUCCGGUGACCAGCCAGCCCAUCUUCAUAACAACCCAGGGAUUUCCCGUGAGGAACGUGCGGCCUGUACAAAACACAAUGAACCCGGUUGGGAUUGUUCUGAACGUACAGCAGGGUCAAACCGUUAGACCCAUCACCCUCGUCCCAG